UUGGCGGUAGAAUUAGUGAUGAAAUCAGACUUAAAAUGUUAUGUAGCUUUCACCUGAACAUAAACACAAAAUUAUCAUUACAUGAUACAUGUUAAAUACAAGUUGCAUCACAUGCUAUGGUUAAAAUACAACAUACUCAAUGAAAAAGCAUAGGUCACAUAAAUUUACAGAUAAGUCAUAACAAUGCCAAUAGAAUAAUAGGAUAAUAUGGAACAAACUUUUUGACAGAGUGACCAACUUUGAAACUCAGUGGCUUCUAUGUAGUGAAUAUUUUAAUUACUUGUGGGGGUGUGGAAACUUUUGUUC
Molecule: long non-coding RNA, 306 nt
Filed under: Bos taurus (domestic cattle)
Lineage: Eukaryota; Metazoa; Chordata; Mammalia; Artiodactyla; Bovidae
Description: long non-coding RNA NONBTAT012560
Source: RNAcentral